Long non-coding RNA from Oreochromis aureus, 374 nucleotides. RefSeq lists it as uncharacterized. The record is from RefSeq and is a predicted model, not a curated record. Lineage: Eukaryota; Metazoa; Chordata; Actinopteri; Cichliformes; Cichlidae. The transcript has 3 exons.
AGCGGUCGAUCUUUCAUGGGACGAGGCUGAAGAUGUGGCUGCAAACCGAGCUCGUUGGCGAUCCCUUGCCGCCCAAUGCGCCAUCCGGCGCAGGAGGAACUAAGUCUAAAUGUCCUGUGUGAUGUAGGCAUUGUUGUCACAUGACACUCCCGGGGCCGUGUAAUUAGGCUGGCAGACAGUAAGGAAGAAAGGGGCGUGGUAGCCAGUAGCUAACUGGAUGACAUCUGUCACCAGGGCUGUUGCCAGGAGACCGAAUACAUGAACACCUGAGGGAGAGAGUGUGGCUUUAACUCCUGCAAGCAGCCCAAACACUCAGAAGGACUGGCAGUUAUACGCACCGACGAAUCGCACGGUCCUGCGUAGGAAGGAGUUGA